ACAUGUUCAUUUCAUGCUUCAAGUUUAUAAGUGCCGCCUCAUUCUCUCUCUUUUUCACCCAUAGCAACGGACUCACUUUGCAUUGAUGGCCAAGGAAGAACGUUGUGGUGGAACAGCGAGUUGGUGGCCGGUGGCAUCUAAGUUUGGUCACGACCACAGAUUCUGACUUUUGAGGGUGCAUUUGGCAAUUAGGCGUGGAGAAGAUGGUGACUGUACGAACUUGCAAAUUGAAAUGGUUUUGUUUUGUUAUAAAGAUUUGCGGCUUAAUGCUAAUGGUAGUGCCAGUGAGUCGAUCUGGGACCUGCAAAAGGAGACGACGAGGAAUUUGAAGCCAAAGCAAAGUUUGAUACGCAGCUUUCCAAUCUAUCUCCGAUCUAACAGGAUAACAAAAGUCAAAAUAAAAAGAUUUCAAGAGUUUUGAAAGAAAACUUAUGUAAAAACUAGAAGAAAAAACCCUUGAAGAAAAAUUAGAAGAACGAGACAACUCGAUUAGCGCGCAAUCGAAGCUUAACGUGCACCUUCACUUAGCGAGCAAGUUCAAACUUAGUGCGAGAAGAUCCACUAGGAAGCAGAAGAAAAAGACACACUGAGUCUUAGAGAGCCUGAGCCUAUUCCUUAGGGGAAAUCCUUCUUCUUUAGUUAUUCCUCUCUUUCUUUCUUCCAGUCAUCGAGUCCAUUUUUUCAUCCAUAUUAGUUUUUGAAGUGUAAAGUCUCUCAUGACUAUGAGAGACUAAAAUCCAUUUGUUGAGAGUCUGACACGUCAAACUCUUGUAGUCUAUUAUCUAUUUAAUGCAAUUCUGUUUCUAUUAUUCUUCUA
Long non-coding RNA from Glycine soja, 817 nucleotides. RefSeq lists it as uncharacterized. The record is from RefSeq and is a predicted model, not a curated record. The transcript is spliced from 3 exons. Lineage: Eukaryota; Viridiplantae; Streptophyta; Magnoliopsida; Fabales; Fabaceae.